This is a long non-coding RNA of Andrographis paniculata, 992 nucleotides long. RefSeq lists it as uncharacterized. The transcript is spliced from 5 exons. The record is from RefSeq and is a predicted model, not a curated record. Lineage: Eukaryota; Viridiplantae; Streptophyta; Magnoliopsida; Lamiales; Acanthaceae.
AACCGCCCGCCUCCCCCCUCACGACUUGUACAAUCCUCUCUCUUCUUCACGUUUUUCCUUCUCCUCCUGCCUCAUUCUUCUCCCUUAUUCGUUCUUCCUUGCUUUCUUCUUCUCCUCCUCCGGUGCUUCCGCUCCCCACGGUGAGAUCUUCUUUCAAUAUUUGUUCUGUUUUCUUCGGAGGGCUUCCCCCGCGUUCGCAGUCAUGGGCGAAAGAAAGUGUAGCCGUCGCCUUCGUUUUUUGUCUACGACUUCGGGUACCGUCGCCGUCGCAGCCUCCUCCACGGAUCCACUUCGUCGCCUUCGUCUGCCUCUGUCCGGCCGCCAUGUUUGUUGCAGUUGAAAAAAAAACCGGCGAUACUGACAUGAAAGUACAGGAACUGGCACGGGGUAGGUUUUACUGGUUUUCUUCAGAGAUGAAAGCUUUAAGUUAUGAUUGUGAUCGUUCACGGCUUUUCUUUGUGGAAAUGUUCAUAAGAGCGAAAAGUUACCACACAUCACAAAGGCUGCUCGCUGAUGAUCUGGCUUUCUCCAAACUCCAAAAAACUACAGAAAAAAUCCAGUAGCUGCACAUUCCUACUAUCAAACUAACCCAGAUUUGUGCGCUUUGGUGAUGUUGUCUUUCUGUGGCCAUUGCUGGGGGAAUAUUCUUCUAUGUCCUGCUACCAUAUGAGGCUGCAUUGUGAUGGGUUCCAGUUUCCUCAAUUUCCAUGUUUGGUGUUAGAAUUUGAGGUGUGUCAUCAACUGCACAGCUUGCUAAAACCUUGCAGUAAGAAAGUGCUCCACAAGGUGGAGGAUUGAAUUGAUAGUGCUAUCAGGUGUUGCAAAUUGAUUGUGAGAAAAGCUUGUUAAUGGUCAUUUGCCCACGAAUGUUCUAUGUCGUAGUUUAUUGUCUGUUUUUGUUGUUUCUUCAAAUUCUGUAUUGUAGAUAUUGCAACUGGUUUUGUUGCCUGCCAGGUGUAUUUCUAAUUAUAUUUGUAUCUUCACUUUAUUCA